UUAUUAUACCCCACGCAACGAAGUUGCGGAGGGUAUAAUGUUUUUGACCCGUCCGUCCGUCCGUCAGUCCGUCAGUCCUGUUUCUUGUCAUCGCAACUCCUCUCAAACCACACAACAGAAUUUCACGAAACCUUUUCAGAUAAUAAGGACAUACUAUGUAGUUGUGCAUAUCGACGGGAAAUUGCGAUUCAAUUUUUUUUCUAGGAGUUACGCCCC
RNAcentral lists this long non-coding RNA (216 nucleotides) under Mytilus galloprovincialis (Mediterranean mussel). The record is from RNAcentral. Lineage: Eukaryota; Metazoa; Mollusca; Bivalvia; Mytilida; Mytilidae.